RNAcentral lists this ribosomal RNA (477 nucleotides) under uncultured bacterium. Its description in RNAcentral is "bacterial SSU rRNA". It matches the Rfam family "Bacterial small subunit ribosomal RNA", at positions 25 to 518 of the family's 1533-position model. The record is from RNAcentral.
CAGGACGAACGCUGGCGGCACGCUUAACACAUGCAAGUCGAACGGAGAUAUUUGGUUUACUGAGAUAUCUUAGUGGCGGACGGGUGAGUAACACGUGAGCAACCUGCCUUUGAGAGAGGGAUAGCUUCUGGAAACGGAUGGUAAUACCUCAUGACAUAGCAGAAGGGCAUCCUUUUGCUAUCAAAGAUUUAUCACUCAAAGAUGGGCUCGCGUCUGAUUAGGUAGUUGGUGAGGUAACGGCCCACCAAGCCGACGAUCAGUAGCCGGACUGAGAGGUUGAACGGCCACAUUGGGACUGAGACACGGCCCAGACUCCUACGGGAGGCAGCAGUGGGGAAUAUUGCACAAUGGGGGAAACCCUGAUGCAGCGAUGCCGCGUGGAGGAAGAAGGUUUUCGGAUUGUAAACUCCUGUCUUAAAGGACGAUAAUGACGGUACUUUAGGAGGAAGCUCCGGCUAACUACGUGCCAGCCGCCGC